UUUUUUUGUAAAAAGAAAUCGUAACAAGGUCUCCGGUGGUGAACCAGCGGAGGGAUCAUUAGCGAGUGAAUUAUANACUCCAAACCCAUGUGAACUUACCUACUGUUGCCUCGNCAGGCCGUGNUAUUCGGUACGGUUAGCUGUCCUGCAGCGGACCUACCCUNGAGAGGAGCUACCCUGGAGUAGAGUUGGGCUUGCGCGCUGGAGAGAAGCUACCCUGGAGUAAUGAAAGCUGCGGCCGAUUUACCCUGGAGAGGAGCUGCCCUGGUGCGGAGCCCGACUCAUACCCUGGAGAGAGGCUACCCUGGAGUAGGAAAGCUAUCAGCAGGGCGGCUCUCAGCCUGUAGCACGCUACAAGGCCUGCCGAAGGACCCCCUAAACUCUGCAUUAUACUGUAUCUCUGAGCGAAUUAUACAAAUAAGUUAAAACUUUCAACAACGGAUCUCUUGGUUCUGGCAUCGAUGAAGAACGCAGCGAAAUGCGAUAAGUAAUGUGAAUUGCAGAAUUCAGUGAAUCAUCGAAUCUUUGAACGCACAUUGCGCCUAACAGUAUUCUGUUAGGCAUGCCUGUUCGAGCGUCAUUUCAACCCCCAAGCCCUAUUUGCUUGACGUUGGGAGCUUACAGCUGCUGUAACUCCUUAAAUUUAGUGGCGGAGCUAGGUCAUGCUCUGAGCGUAGUAAUCCUUUUUUUCUCGCUCUUGAUGCUGCCCUAUAUCCUGCCGUAAAACCCCCCCUAAAUUUUAUUCUGGUUGACCUCGGAUCAGGUAGGAAUACCCGCUGAACUUAAGCAUAUCAGCAAAAGAAACCAACAGGGAUUGCCCUAGUAACGGCGAGUGAAGCGGCAACAGCUCAAAUUUGAAAUCUGGCCCUAGGGUCCGAAUUGUAAUUUGCAGAGGAUGCUUUUGGCGAGGUGCCUUCCGAGUUCCCUGGAACGGGACGCCUUAGAGGGUGAGAGCCCCGUACGGUUGGACACCAAGCCUCUGUAAAGCUCCUUCGACGAGUCGAGUAGUUUGGGAAUGCUGCUCUAAAUGGGAGGUAAAUUUCUUCUAAAGCUAAAUACCGGCCAGAGACCGAUAGCGCACAAGUAGAGUGAUCGAAAGAUGAAAAGCACUUUGAAAAGAGGGUUAAACAGCACGUGAAAUUGUUGAAAGGGAAGCGUUUACGGCCAGACCUUUUCCUAGCGGAUCAUCCGGUGUUCUCACCGGUGCACUUCGCUAGGUUUAGGCCAGCAUCGGCUUCUGUAGGGGGAUAAAAGCAGUGGGAAAGUAGCUCUCUAGGGAGUGUUAUAGCCCUAUGCAUAAUACCUCUACGGGGGCCGAGNUCCGCGCUUAGGCAAGGAUGCUGGCGUAAUGGUCGUCAACGACCCGUCU
RNAcentral lists this ribosomal RNA (1369 nucleotides) under Biscogniauxia sp. CHTAE22. RNAcentral describes it as "eukaryotic LSU rRNA". The stretch from base 750 to 1369 matches the Rfam family "Eukaryotic large subunit ribosomal RNA", at positions 1 to 654 of the family's 3401-position model. The record is from RNAcentral. Lineage: Eukaryota; Fungi; Ascomycota; Sordariomycetes; Xylariales; Xylariaceae.